CUUUAUAAUAUAAUACCGGCAAUAAUUUGCAAUGAUAAUUAACAACAUUUAUCAUUACAUCAUUAAAAAAUUUAGGAAAAUUAUCAUUUGAAUACCCUUAGUUUACUUCAUUAUCAAAAAUACUACAACACUUUGAGGGUGUAUCAAUCGUCCACCCUAAGUUGACAAAAUGUAUCAGCUGACCACCAAACCGUUAGUUACCGUUUAAGUAUGAUGACGUCAGAAGGGUAAUUUAGUCUUUUCAUAUGAUACAAGUGAUAAUUUAAGGGUAUACAAGUGAUAAAAAGAGAAUUUAAUGGUAUACAAGUGAUAAUUUUCAAGGGUAAAAUCGUCAAUUCACUGUAAUUCCGUUAACUUUCAAACGGCAACUAAUGGUUUGGUGGUUGGCUGAUACAUUUUGUCAACUAAGGGUGGACGAUUGAUACACCUUCAAAGUGUUGUAGUAUUUUUGAUAACAGAACAAAUAUAGGGUAUACGAAUGAUAAUUUCCCAAAAAUUUAUUACCAACAAAAUGUUGUUGUAUUUAGAAUUAAAAAAAGUAUAAUAUUAAUAAAGUUAUCAUAUAUCUGUUCAGUUUAAUAAUAACAAUAAUAAUAAUAAUAGUAAUGGCUAACAAAUAUACUCAUCAAAAACAUUAAUAAUAGAUGUUAAGAGUGAAGGACAACAUUUGUCCAUGAGGUUCCUGAAAAACGCAACUUUUGUGCAGUAAAAUUAAAUCGACUUCAUUCAAAAAUAAAAAUCAAGAGGAAAGAUUGAAGUUUGUUUACCUCACUUGUAGUUUCAGAAACGACUUCGUGAGGUAGAAAAAAAUGACUGAAAACAACAAGGUACGAACACUGUCCAGAAAAUAUUCCUCUGCAUGAACAGCUUUUGUUUUGCCACGAUUUGAGUUAAAGCACCCCAAUUGUGAUGCCUCUAAUCAGUCCACACUUAGAAAUGUUCUAGAAGUUCAUAGGAUUUUGAAUCUUCAAAUUUCGUUUAGAAAUGAGAGAGAUAAUGAAGAAACAUAAAUGCUAAUUCAUGAUGAUUCAUUCCACUAAAUAAAGCCACCAUUAUCUUUUCAAUAAUGGCACCAAACAUUAUCAUGUGCUAGACCCACCCACUAAGCCAUUAUUUAUUGAAUGUGAUCUUAUCACUUCAAUAAUUUAUUUAAUCAAAUUAUUUUGAAUAAAUAAAUAGCUAAAUUAAUUAAUUUUGUCUUUAAUUAAUGAAGGGAAAUUAUCAGUCAUAUACCCUUAAAUGACACCAGUAUCAAACGUGCUACAACACUUUUCAAGUGUAUCACUCGUAUACCCUAAGUUGACAAAACACUUCUGCCGUCCACCAAUCCGUUAACUGUCGUUUGCGAGCGCUGACAUCGUAAGGAUAAUCUAGUCUUUUUUUAAAAACGACAUGUCAUCCCAUUUACCUAGUAAAAAACGACAUGUCAUAUGAUAUAUUUUGAUAAAAUGACAUGUCAUCCCAUUUAUCAUAUAAUUGUUAAUAAUUGCUAAAAAAAAAAGCUACUUUACAACCGAAUCUACUCCUUCAAAAUUUAACCUAAAUUAUUGAAGAUCUACUCCUCCAAGCUCAAACUUGAAUUUUUUAUGGUAUAAUAUGUAUAAUUGUAAAUAAUAUGUUGUUAAUAAUUUUUUAUGGUAUAAGAUGAAUAUUUUUUAUGGAUUAAUUGUUAAUAAGAUGAAUAUUUUUUAUGGAUUAAUUGUUAAUAAUAUGUACCAUUAAUAAUUCAUAUUUUUUUAAUUAAAAAAUGUAUUGUUAAUAACAAAAUAAAAAAAAUUGUGUAUUGAAAAUUUACAUUAAUUUUCAAGGUAAAUUUAUUUUUUUGCCUCAUUUUGAGUUUAAAGGGUAAAAUAAUCAUUUUGCUCAAAUUCUGUUAAGUUCUUAACGGUAGUAAACGGAAAGGUGGACGCUAGAACUCUUUUGUCAACUUAGGGUAUACGAGUGAUAUAAGCGAAAAAUGUUGUAGCACGUUUGAUACUGGUGUCAUUUAAAGGUAUAUGGCUGAUAAUUUCCCAUUAAUUAAUCCCAUUUUGAUAAAAUCAAAUGGUUAAUUGUGGGCUUAUUUUGUGACGUGUUCUAAUGCUUUCUCCUAAUCCAUAUCAGGUCCAAUAAAAGCCCAAAAUUGGUCUAGAAGUCCAUACUCAUUUACGAACCAGAACAUGUCCAAAAUGGUCAUUUUACGUGCUCGAUAUUAUACAUAAUGUUUAAUUAAGGAUUUAUGAAAUUUAUUUUGUUCCUUAAACUAUUUAUGGAACAUCUAAAUUUCUAUCUUAAAUCAUAUUUAAGAUAUAUAUAUAUAUUCAUUCUUAAUGAAUUAUAAUAUAAAUACCGAUUUUCCUAAAAUUAGGAAAUUUAACUUCUCAUUUUCUAGUAACUCCUUUUUCAUUUCUAUUAGGUGUGUGAUCUUUUAGGUUCUUUGUUAUAAGGUAGUAGAACUAUUUUAAUGAUAACUCUUUAUUCAUUAAAUGAUGCUAAACUCUUUAGUCAUCAAUUAGAACUUUUCUAAUGAUCUUAAGAUACAUUGGUAAUACGCUUUACCAAUAAUGAUCUUAAGGUUUCUACAAGUCAUGAGUGACACCUAGCAGUAUUUCACAACCACCCAAAUAACAAGAAUUGUUGGAUCUAUAGAACCUAUUCCAUUGUAUCUCUAUGUCUUGGUCUCUUCAUCAUCCAUGUCCAAAGAAAAGCACGGCUAAUGGUUUAGUGUGUUAAGCAUUUAUGCUUUAUCUCAAAAUAAAUCUAAAUGAACUUGGCAUGAAAAUAUAAUUUGAACUCCUUCAAACAUAUUUUACCUUGGCCAAGGAUUUCUCAUGCCAAUUCAUAUUAUCUCACAGGGACAUCCUUUUUGUAUAUUACAAAGUGAUGAAUUUCAUAUUGGCCAUACACUUGUCUCCAUACAUACCCAACCAUGACAGCUAUUGCUAGAUCUCUUCCUUGAUUAAGAAUUAAUCAUUAUGCUUUCACAUAUCAGAGAUGUCUAUGUAUAAGACAUCUGUGAUGCCUCAGGUCUAAAGACCAUUACUAAACAUAAUGUCUAUCACAAUGUAUAAUAAGUCAUUAACACUCAAAAUCAUAUGGCUUAUUAUAUUUGGUCAAGUUUAGUAAACUCGUUCUCUCAACAAGUACCUAUGUGUUUGACUUGACAUCUCAUAUCAAUGAUAUGAAACUCACUGUUCAUUUUAGUAUCACAUACCAUAAAUGAGUUAUAACACAUACUAGUGUUUAUAGGAAUUUAUCAUAAAUCCACUACUAGGAACUAUUUUAGAAGUAUAGUACAAAGGAUACACGUUUCAUAUUCUUGACAAACUCGAGAAUGUGUUGCUUAACGAUUUUACUCUUGGACUAUAUUCAUUAAAUUAAUUUAUGAAUGUUGAUAACUUUGCCAUUUUAUAAAUAUUAAAAUGCAAUCAUAUACAAUAAUUCCCUAAAAGCAAACACCAUUCGAUUGGCUUUUAGGGCAUAUCACUAACAAAGAGUACCAUUAAUCGUUAUACUAGUAAUAAAACAAUAUCAUCAAAUAUUAACCUUACAUGUAAUCAUGUAUAAGCUCCUAGAACAAUUCAUAGAAAUUUUUGUAACUUCAAAUC
RNAcentral lists this long non-coding RNA (3587 nucleotides) under Citrus x clementina. Its description in RNAcentral is "Citrus clementina (C. clementina) long non-coding RNA (CCLE_LNC004283)". The record is from RNAcentral. Lineage: Eukaryota; Viridiplantae; Streptophyta; Magnoliopsida; Sapindales; Rutaceae.